GAAAUGCGAUAAGUAAUGUGAAUUGCAGAAUUCAGUGAAUCAUCGAAUCUUUGAACGCACAUUGCGCUCGCCAGUAUUCUGGCGAGCAUGCCUGUUUGAGCGUCAUUUCAACCAUCAAGCUCUGCUUGCGUUGGGGAUCCGCGGCUGCCCGCGGUCCCUCAAAAACAGUGGCGGGCUCGCUAGUCACACCGAGCGUAGUAACUCUACAUCGCUAUGGUCGUGCGGCGGGUUCUUGCCGUAAAACCCCCAAUUUCUAAGGUUGACCUCGGAUCAGGUAGGAAUACCCGCUGAACUUAAGC
RNAcentral lists this unclassified non-coding RNA (299 nucleotides) under plant metagenome. RNAcentral describes it as "partial contains 5.8S ribosomal RNA, internal transcribed spacer 2, and large subunit ribosomal RNA". The stretch from base 1 to 105 matches the Rfam family "5.8S ribosomal RNA", at positions 50 to 154 of the family's 154-position model. The record is from RNAcentral.